RNAcentral lists this transfer RNA (72 nucleotides) under Stegodyphus mimosarum. It matches the Rfam family "tRNA". From Rfam's summary of the family: Transfer RNA (tRNA) molecules are approximately 80 nucleotides in length. Their secondary structure includes four short double-helical elements and three loops (D, anti-codon, and T loops). Lineage: Eukaryota; Metazoa; Arthropoda; Arachnida; Araneae; Eresidae. The record is from Rfam by way of RNAcentral.
GCCUUCGUGGUGCAGUGGUCAGCACGAUCGGCCGUAACUGAGAGGUCCGUGGUUCGAUUCCCGGCGAAGGCG